GGUGGGUUGGCCGAGAGGCGAGGCAGCGGCCUGCAAAGCCGUUCACACGGGUUCGAAUCCCGUACCCACCU
Molecule: non-coding RNA, 71 nt
Organism: Arthrobacter sp. Soil762
Lineage: Bacteria; Bacillati; Actinomycetota; Actinomycetes; Micrococcales; Micrococcaceae
Source: Rfam